Long non-coding RNA from Anguilla rostrata (American eel), 1803 nucleotides. RefSeq lists it as uncharacterized. The record is from RefSeq and is a predicted model, not a curated record. NCBI's taxonomy places the organism in Eukaryota, Metazoa, Chordata, Actinopteri, Anguilliformes, Anguillidae. The transcript has 2 exons.
UUUUUUGUGAUUAUAUAUUUCAUUAUGAGUAGUAGGUUGUGAAAUAAUAGUUGUUUUGGUCGAAAAGUCUUGGGGAAAUAUUUAUUAAAAUGUAGGCUAAAUAUUUUAUUACAUGUUAUUACUAUAUGUUUUUCAUAUGAAACGUAAUGAUCGUUAAUUGAGUUUCAGAAUACCAUCGGGAAAGCUUUAUUUUGCAUUCAAACGUCUGAUAUUCCCCAUUAAUUUUAAAGGGAGAUCUAAUGUUUUGCCCUCAGCACAGUUCAGGCUUACUUCCGGUACUUCACAAGCUUAGGUUCGCUAGCAGAAGGCGUGCUCGCCUGUCUUCUGUAGGAGCCGCAGUAGUUUCAUACGUCCUGCCACAUGCAUAUCGACUUGAAACACUACAUUACCCAGUAUCUAUGUACUUUAUACUCCUUCCGCACAACACCCAGAUAGCUCAGCGCAACGAGUUGGUUGUUAUAAUCAUCGUUUUAGUUGAUGCAGGAAAAAAUUCAACGGUGCACAAUAUUUUAAAUAUUUAAUUCCUGCGUAAACGGCCAGGGUCGACUUUCGGUGAUCUCGAGUGAGUUAACCCUCGAAUGAUGGCAACGGAAAGUGAAAACGACAUUGAGAUUCCACCGGCGGGUACUCAAAUUGAGAAGUCGAAAAAAGAAUUCGUCUGGACUCAACAGGCAACAUGGCUACUGGUCCGCACUCGUUUGUCCAUGGACUCCGACUUCAAUCGGCCAGUGUGCAAGAUGAAGAAACUCUGGGCGAGGGUGGCUGAGAAGGUGACAGCUAAACUGAAGGAAUCUGGAGAAGAUGUUUCUGUGAGAUCCCAUGAGUGUGACAGCAAAUGGAGGAAUAUGUUGUCAACCUACAGGAAAAAUGCAGAGAAAGCCAAAAGACUUGGUGCUCAUAUCGUUCAUUGGGAGUUUUUUCAUGAGAUGCACGAUGUGCUGGGGAAAAGCAGUGACGAGUUGGAUGGACAACGGAAGGAUACAUUAAAUGGGAGUAAAUUGGCCACUCUUAUAGCGAGUAAAAAGUAUACCCCAAUCCUUCCUACUCCACCUGUGCCUCCUACCCCCCUCUCCUCUCGCCCUCCCCAAGAUGUAUUGCAGUUAUACUUAGAGCUCCAAGAGAGAAAGAUGGACUUGUGGAUGCAACAGAAAGCUUUGGAGGAGAGAAAGAUAGAAGCUAUUAAUAACCUGGCCCGAGCAAUCUCCAGUUUAGCUGAGGACCGUAACACCCAGUCACCAAACAGUGGGUAGGCUGGCAUGCAGGGUGGUGCAGCGUUCCCUGAUAAAAACACCAGUAACAGUCCUGUGAACAUUCUGGUGUGUUUUACUAACUGACAGAUGUACAGUAUUAACAACAGAUUUAAAGAAACAGAUCUGCAGUCCUGAGGUUGUGCAAAUGCAAGUGUUGUUUGCGGGCAAAAUUACUACAGUCUCAUGGAGAAAAAAGAAGAAAUGCGACAAAAUACAGUUGGUAGUUUCUUGGGUAUGCAGAGAUUUAAAGUUAACGUUUCCACUAAGACUUUACUUUUUAGAGCAACCAUUGCUUUUACAUUUAUGCUACAAAGCUUGUUUUUAUUUUACAUAGAAUUUUUAGUUGUAAUAAGUUUUUUCCACGAUUCCAGCUCAAUCAAUUUUCACAAUUCCAGCUCAGUGAGAGGUAUUCUAGACAUUAACUGAUGCCAUUGCGAUGUGACUGGAGUUGUCUUUAUUUUCCAAAAUUUGAUCGUUGAUGCAUUUCUCAUUUAUUAGAUCUUAUGCCGAGAAAAAAAAUGUUAACCACAUUAAAAGCCAUCUUACAGAAAAA